Long non-coding RNA from Zonotrichia albicollis (white-throated sparrow), 396 nucleotides. RefSeq lists it as uncharacterized. The record is from RefSeq and is a predicted model, not a curated record. Lineage: Eukaryota; Metazoa; Chordata; Aves; Passeriformes; Passerellidae.
CUGUGACAGCCUGAGAGCUGGGACUUUACGUGUAACAACAACACACAUCUUCACUUCCCAGGGGAGCACCCAAGCUGUUAAUAAGGGCCUGGAGGUGGAAAGCAUCAGGUUCAAAAGCAGAGGGAGCAGCAGUAGCUGUGAGAAGCAGCCUUACAAACUGGAACCAGAGCUGGCAGCAGUGCUGGAGCACUGGGCAUGGAUCAGGCUGGAGAAAAAGAAUUAACAGUUCCAUGCUCAGAAGCCUGGAGAGUGAGAAAGCAGCUGUCACCCGUGGAGGGAGGGGAAAUGCUGAGCUGCCACACAUAAACUCAGCGGGCUGUUUAAAGACGAUGCACACAUCUGAAUGCUCUCACUGCUGCUGUUCCUCUCUGAAUUUGGCCUUGGCACCAUGGCAAG